RNAcentral lists this ribosomal RNA (1218 nucleotides) under uncultured Rhizaria. Its description in RNAcentral is "SSU rRNA". It matches the Rfam family "Eukaryotic small subunit ribosomal RNA", at positions 577 to 1805 of the family's 1831-position model. The record is from RNAcentral.
CGGUAAUUCCAGCUCCAAUAGCGUAUACUAAAGUUGUUGCAGUUAAAAAGCUCGUAGUUGGAUUUCUGCGGGGACGGAGCGGCCGGACGCAACUUGCGUCUCGAGCUAGCGCUUUCCCCGCAUCCUGCCGCGAACCGUGCUACCAUUAGCUUGGUGGCGCUGGGGAUCGGCUCGAUUACUUUGAGAAAAAUAGAGUGUUCAAAGCAGGCCACACGCCUUGAAUAAGUUAGCAUGGAAUAAUGACUAAGGACUUCGGUUCUAUUUUGUUGGUGUUCGGGACUGAAGUAAUGAUUGAUAGGGACAGUUGGGGCGGUCUGUAUUCCAAAGCGAGAGGUGAAAUUCUUAGACCUUCGGAAGACAAACAGCUGCGAAAGCGUUCCGCAAGGAUGUUCCCUUUGAUCAAGAACGAAAGUUGGGGGAUCGAAGACGAUCAGAUACCGUCGUAGUCUCAACUAUAAACUAUACCAGCUAGGGAUCGGCCAACGUUUAAUUAUUCGACUUGGUCGGCACCUUAUGAGAAAUCAAAGCAUCUGGGUUCCGGGGGGAGUAUGGUCGCAAGGCUGAAACUUAAAGGAAUUGACGGAAGGGCACCACCAGGCGUGGAGCCUGUGGCUUAAUUUGACUCAACACGGGAAAACUUACCAGGUCCAGACAUAGGAAGGAUUGACAGAUUGAUAGCUCUUUCUUGAUUCUGUGGGUGGUGGUGCAUGGCCGUUUUUAGUCGGUGAAGUGAUUUGUCUGCUUAAUUGCGUUAACGGACGAGACCCCAGCCUGCUAAAUAGCGCGGCCGAGCUUUGCUCGGUACGAGCUUCUUAGAGGGACCAUGAUGCGCGAUAGCACAAGGAAGUUUGGGGCAACAACAGGUCUGUGAUGCCCUUAGAUGUUCUGGGCCGCACACGGGCUACACUGGCGCCUGCAACGAGCAUAUCAGCUGGCCCGAGAGGGUCUUGGCUAAUCUUUGGAACCGGCGCCGUGCUUGGGAUUGACCAUUGCAAUUGUUGGUCAUGCAACGAGGAAUGCCUUGUAAACGCGAGUCAUCAGCUCGCAUUGAAUACGUCCCUGCCCUUUGUACACACCGCCCGUCGCUCCUACCGAUGAAUGUUCCGAUGAAAUUUUCGGAGAGCGCCGGAGAACGGGGCUCUGCCCUGCAGAACUGGAGGCUCAAAGUCACUUAAAUCUGAACAUUUCGAGGAAGGAGAAGUCGUAACAAGGUAGCCG